GCCAUCGUCGGGAGCGCCGGCGUGCGUGGCGUGCGUCUGCGUCGUCGCCCCUUCCGCUGCAAAAGCGGAGCUGCUGCUGGAAGCGUCCUCUGCCGUCGCUCAAAAGCCUCUUCUGGACGCCGAGGCCGUGGGCCGCUGCAUCUACCUGACUGCUUCGUACGACUCCGACGAAGCGACAGCCUUGACCGCAAUCGAGGCGCUCGGCACCGAGGUCGCAGCUCAUCAAGACGAG
RNAcentral lists this non-coding RNA (232 nucleotides) under uncultured eukaryote. The record is from RNAcentral.